CUAAAACGGAAAAUGUUGAUAUAAUUCGCUCCAUGUUGCAUUAACCUACAACAGAGAACUUUACAGUAAGAGUGAUGAGACAACAAAUUUCUCCAACAGAUGAGCAACAGUGAUCAUGCCAAACAAAUUACAAACAGUUUCCUGUUUCUUCCAGCUUGUGUCAGUCGAAAGGCUCUUGAGGAUAAUCAAAGACAAGGGAGAGACCAUCAGAGCUCACUGUACAGCAAUCAAAGUGCAUAUGAUAUAAGUCCAGCCGAAUUUGCACUUUCUCGUGCAUGCUACUACAUGGAGCACAGUAACCAAAGCCAUUACCAUCCUUCAGGCUGAAGCCAGUGUACUGAUUGGCUAGUUCUUUCCAACCAUAGACCAACUGAUGUUAAAGUUAAACUUUCAAGCAGUCUUUAAAUUAUGCCACUAAUU
Long non-coding RNA from Sinocyclocheilus grahami, 420 nucleotides. RefSeq lists it as uncharacterized. The transcript has 3 exons. Lineage: Eukaryota; Metazoa; Chordata; Actinopteri; Cypriniformes; Cyprinidae. The record is from RefSeq and is a predicted model, not a curated record.